Molecule: long non-coding RNA, 658 nt
Filed under: Elaeis guineensis (African oil palm)
Lineage: Eukaryota; Viridiplantae; Streptophyta; Magnoliopsida; Arecales; Arecaceae
Description: long non-coding RNA (EGUI_LNC051466)
Source: RNAcentral
ACCUCUUUUCAUGGCCGAUAUGGCCAUGUCUUUAUUGAGGUUCCUGACCUCAAGUGUGGCCGCAUUGAAUCGGGCCACGAAAUUCUCGAUCUCUCCUCGUUUGAUCGAAAAGAGAUUAUCCGAGGUUUGUGGCGGUCUUCGGCUGGUGCUGAAGUGGGCCACGAAUGAGUGCUCUAGCUGUUCGAAGGAAUGGAUACUUUCCGAUCAAAUCCUGGAGUAUCAGACUCUGGCAGCUUUCCGAAGUGUUGCUGGGAAGCCGAUGCAGGGGAGGGUGUCGGUUGCCCCCUGAAUCAUCAUGAGAGCCUUGUAGCUCUCGAGAUGGUCAACUGGAUCGGUGGAGCCAUCGUAGGGCUCCACGUGCGGCAUCUUGAACCGACUCGGGAUCGGUUCAUCCGAAAUAAGUUGGGAGAGAGGUUGGACGGUAUGAAAAUCGAAGUCAUUUGAAGAUUUCUGACCGUCCAUCUGGAACUGGACGAGUCGGCAGUCAAUUUCUUCGAACUUACGUUCGUAGUUCUCGAGCUGUUGGUGGUGGUAAACCCUGGGGGUUGAUCCUCCCGAUGAAUUAGAGGGAGAGGCAGACGGUGCUCGCGGUCGCUUUCUUUUCCUUGCCCGAUCUAACUAGGAAGGAGAAGGGCGUCGCGAAUUGCGGGUGGGGCGU